RNAcentral lists this ribosomal RNA (253 nucleotides) under uncultured bacterium. RNAcentral describes it as "partial 16S ribosomal RNA". It matches the Rfam family "Bacterial small subunit ribosomal RNA", at positions 524 to 776 of the family's 1533-position model. The record is from RNAcentral.
GACAGAGGUGCCGAGCGUUAGGCGGAAUCACUGGGCUUAAAGCGUGUGUAGGCGGAUUUGUAAGUACCUUGUGAAAUCCCACGGCUCAACCGUGGAACUGCUCGGUAUACUGCUUAUCUUGAGCCACUUAGGGGCAGUCGGAACAGAUGGUGGAGCGGUGAAAUGCGUAGAUAUCCGAAGGAACAUCAGUGGCGAAAGCGGCUUCCUGGACCAGAACUGACGAUCAGGCACGAAAGCGUGGGGAGCAAACAGG